UACCCGAGCAAUGCGUGGAUAAUAUUAAACUAUUUUUCUAAACUUUUCAAUACGGAAUGUCAUGUUCCAAUUUUACGAUUGUCUGAGAUAAAAUCAGACAAUCAUAAAUUGCAUACAAUUGAAUUAAAUAUAGAAAAAUUGUGAAAUAAAACAAUAUUUAAAAGAAAGAAGAAGAAGAAGAAUAUCAAACAGAAAUUUUAAAAAUUUAAACUUGUCAACUAUACCAACAAAACUGAAAACUCUACUCUGCACUUUUCUUUUAUUUUCUUCCUUUCGGUCUUCUUUGUCUGUUCUGCAAGUCAACAACAACAACAACAAAAUUAUCAUUAAAAAUUAGAAUAAACUCUCAAGAAGACUUCUUCAUAAAUUAAACAAUAAAAAUUGUAUUAAUUCAAAGUCCGUUUACCUGUAAAUACUUUGCUUACCAAAGUUUCAAUUAUUAUCGAUUUUUUUUCUCCUUAUCUUCUUGAAAUGUGUUACCAUUUGAAGUAAGAGGCGAAUAGAUGUAGACUUGUUCCUUUUUGUUUACAAUAACAGAGAAAGUUGAAGAUGAAGAAAUCAUAUCCUUCCU
Molecule: long non-coding RNA, 571 nt
Filed under: Capsicum annuum
Lineage: Eukaryota; Viridiplantae; Streptophyta; Magnoliopsida; Solanales; Solanaceae
Description: long non-coding RNA (CANN_LNC006600)
Source: RNAcentral